RNAcentral lists this ribosomal RNA (442 nucleotides) under uncultured bacterium. RNAcentral's name for it is "partial 16S ribosomal RNA". It matches the Rfam family "Bacterial small subunit ribosomal RNA", at positions 338 to 795 of the family's 1533-position model. The record is from RNAcentral.
CCUACGGGAGGCAGCAGUGGGGAAUAUUGGUCAAUGGGCGCAAGCCUGACCCAGCAAAGCCGCGUGAAGGAAGAAGGCUCUCGGGUUUUUAACCUCCUUUUACAGGGAAGAGCAGAAGACGGUACCUGUCGAAUAAGCCGCAGCUAACUACGUGUCAGCAGCCGCGUUCAUACGGAGGUGGCAAGUGAUCUCCGGAUUUACUGGGUUUAAAGGGCGUGUUGGCGGGCUGUCAAGUCAGGUGUGAAAUCGGGGGGAUCAACCCACGCACUGCAGUUGAAACUGUGGGUCUUGAGUAGCGGAGAGGCAGGCGGAAUUCGUGGUGUAGCGGUGAAAUGCGUAGAUAUUAGGAGGAACACCAGUGGCGAAGGCGGCCUGCUGGACGACAACUGACGGUGAGGCACGAAAGCGUGGGGAGCGAACAGGAUUAGAUACCCUGGUAGUC